RNAcentral lists this small RNA (33 nucleotides) under Bombyx mori (domestic silkworm). RNAcentral describes it as "ovarian small RNA-14724". Lineage: Eukaryota; Metazoa; Arthropoda; Insecta; Lepidoptera; Bombycidae. The record is from RNAcentral.
CUGAAACCUCCAGUUAUCGUCCGAUCACGUUGC